This 200-nucleotide long non-coding RNA is filed under the name Hordeum vulgare. RNAcentral's name for it is "long non-coding RNA (HVUL_LNC018987)". Lineage: Eukaryota; Viridiplantae; Streptophyta; Magnoliopsida; Poales; Poaceae. The record is from RNAcentral.
CGAGAAGGAUGAUCGACGAGCCAAUCAAGAUGCCCAACAGCACAACGAGGAACCACCGCAGCCCCAUAAAGAUCAUGGCCUCACCAGAGGACCUUGGCUCGGUCUCGUCCAAACGAAAAAUGUAGUACAAUGGCAUGGUGUGAGUGUCAGUUGGAGAAAAGCCGCGCUGCCAUCUUUUAUAGCCCGACCCUAGUUUACGG